CCCUUCUCCCUUCUCUCCAUGCAGAACCUCCCCAAAGGCCUCACCAUCUCAAAACCAGCCAACAACUCAAACCUACCUUCUUCACUCGCUGGCAGCGCCAUUGCUGGAGCUAUCUUCUCAACCUUAAGUUCAUGUGACCCCGCCUUAGCUGCACAACAGAUUGCUGAAAUAGCUGAAGGAGACAACCGUGGGCUAGCUCUAUUGCUUCCCAUAAUCCCAGCGAUCGCUUGGGUCCUCUUCAACAUCCUCCAGCCAGCACUUAACCAGCUGAAUCGAAUGAGGAGCUCCAAAGGGGUUAUCAUAGGGCUAGGGCUCGGAGGAUUGGCUGCAUCAGGGUUCAUGUCAACACCGGAAGCAUCGGCCAGUGAGAUAGCUAUGGUAGCUGAUGCUGCAUCUAGUGACAAUAGGGGUACCCUUCUCCUCUUCGUUGUAGCACCAGCUCUUCUUUGGGUGGCCUACAACAUUCUGCAACCCGCUUUGAACCAGCUUAAUAGGA
RNAcentral lists this long non-coding RNA (496 nucleotides) under Gossypium barbadense (sea-island cotton). RNAcentral describes it as "long non-coding RNA (GBAR_LNC023521)". Lineage: Eukaryota; Viridiplantae; Streptophyta; Magnoliopsida; Malvales; Malvaceae. The record is from RNAcentral.